CAAAACACUCCACAAAAUUCCACAUCAGCUUCCUCAAAUUUAUUUCCUCACCUUGCAUUGCAGUUACACUUUGGUUGAUCAAUAUUCAUUCUUCAAUUCAUUCACGUUAAACUUCUAGCGGUUACGUCUCCUCAUUAUCUCCACCAUUACGAAACUGAUUUAUCAUUCAGCAACCACUUCCAAUCUUCUUCUUUUAAUUACAAAAGUGACAAAACUUACCACAAAUGGAGAGCUGUAUGCCCGAAUCGGAAGGAUUCCGAUUGAAGAUUUCCGUUGAGCGGUAUGUACGUGGCGCUCGGUGGAGGACGUCGGUUCUGGGUGGAUCGCGGCCGUAGCCGCUGAUGAUGGUGGUGGUCGGGUUAUCACGGUUUGAAGCGGCGUGCUGUGGAGGUUACGCCCGAUGUUUUGUCGGAAAUGUUGUUCUAAGAUUGGUGUAGCUCAGGACGCUAACGACAUUGACGAUGGCACCUUGGAGAUAGGAAUGGGUUUAUGCAUCACCAUUCCACAACUGUGUUAAGGCUGUUGAACCGGUUUUGCUUUUAAGGUGUUGAAUAAAUAUACUGGAAGAACGACGGGCUGUGUCGAUCUUGGCCAGAAGGGUGAUGCUCGCGGUGAUUGGUUUCGCUUUUUGAUGACCCUUCACAGUGGUCGGGUUUGAUUAAACGGAUUUUCAAACAUCAAUCAAUUGGUUCCAGAUGAAUCCCAGCGAAAGCCUCCCUGUUUUCCAAAACGGGUCUCACAUCAUUUACAAGGCUAUUGAUAUAAUACAGUAUGUUCCCUUCGAGUUUUCAUUCUGUCAUAAUUGCUUUCAAUAGAUGUUCAUAAUUUCAGAAACUUUAUUUUAAAUGCUUUUAUUAUAAAAGGACGUUUUAUAGGGUCGUGGAUUUUCAGGUACAUAGAAAGAAUUGUUGUGGUCUCUGCAGGGUCUGAGGAUGUUAGUAGCAAUAGGAAGGAAGUGAUUGAAUGGAUGCAAAAGAUACAAGAAUGGAUUCCUAAAUAUUUUACUCUUUUGCAUAUACCAGACAAGUCCAAUCUCAAUUAAUGUUUGAUGGAUGUCAAGUGAGUGAAGUGAAUAUAUCUCUGGAUGAAAUUACUCUCUCCUUCAUUGGCGUAGGUUCUCCAUAAUGUAUUUCUUUAUUUAUAUUGGAUUAGUAUGCUUCUGUUGAGCCAAGGUCAAAAUACAUGUUUCACUUUUUUAUGUGAUUGCUAACUACGUAAUUUGCUUCCGUGUUCUGUACAUGUUGAGGUGUGUCGUGUAGAAUUGUUAGGUAGUAGAUAAAGUGUUGUUGUAGCACCGUGGUGCAUUGGAAUUUGGACUUGCUACUUUUUUGUGUGACCAAGCCGAUGAAAUUGUUUUGGAUUCUCGAGUUUGGCAUAGAACUUCUGCUAUGGCUAAGUUUUGAAUUGUUGAAGGCGAUGAAGAGAUGGAGAUUGUUUGAUGACUUUCUGUGAAAUUGGAGAGUGAGUGAUGAAUGAAUGUUGAAGAAGAUAAGAGUUGAAGGUGAUUUUUGCAGCUUUAUAGGUUGAUUCAGUUGGGAGAAAUCAGUUAGAGAUUCAGUUACAAAUUGAAUGGAUGAGAUGGUUGAUUCGGUUAAGAGAGUUCUGUUAGUGAAUAUGCGGUUUAGUUUGUGGUGUGGUAAGAAUUUUAUGUGGUUUGACUUGAUGUUGGGGCAACUGCAGGAUUGAGGGCUUUGGUAGGGUAUGCUUCUGAUAAGAUCUUGCAAGCGGUAAAUAUUUCUUGGUGCGUGCAUACUCAACAUUCUAAUCUGUACUCAGGAUUCUAAUGUUGCUUGCCAUAGCCAUACUUCAAGCUGCGGUUGGAAGUCAAGCUAUCAUCACCGGAACUUUCUCGAUAAUCAAACAGUGUUCCUCUUUAAGAUGCUUCCCAAAAGUCAAAAUUGUUCACACGUCGUCCAAAAUACAUGGCCAGAUUUACAUUCCUGAGAUUAACUGGAGUCUGAUGAUUCUUUUCCGUGCUGUUACAUUUGGUUUUCGAGAUACCGAACGCCUCAGAAAUGUUGCAGAAGAAGCAUAUGUUCCGGAGAAUGCAAACACUAUUAAACACCUGCAAGCUACUGCCAGAAAGGAAGUCCUCCCACUUUUUGGUCUUGAAAAGAUUUGGAAAAUCCUCAAAAUCUUCCAAAAUAGAGCAGCAACUAAUCAUGCGGCUAAGGAAAAGCAGAAGGAGGAGUGAGUCUUGGAUGUGCUGACAACACAGGUGCUGCAGGGACAUAUUAUGAUGCUGUUCCACGCAGUCUUACCAUUUGCAAUCAUAAUCUGUCCACACAAACUUAUACACUUAUAUUAGAGUUUCCUAAGGCGCCUCUUUGGACAAAUAUUUAUAUCUAGAAUCAGGCCAAGGCAUUGUUUCCUUUAUACUGGAGCCAUGUUCAGGUGAAGUUGUACAGGGUUCAGUUCGGUUCGAUAAAGAGCAUUCAAUUCUUUCUAUGUGAAGGAACUUGAUGAGGCUUUAAAAACGAUUGUCUUUAUAUACAUGACAGUUCCAACCAACCAGUGCAAGUGAGUUGAACUUGUGACCUUGAAGGUUGUUGUCACGAUUGU
Long non-coding RNA from Vicia villosa (hairy vetch), 2562 nucleotides. RefSeq lists it as uncharacterized. The transcript is spliced from 8 exons. The record is from RefSeq and is a predicted model, not a curated record. NCBI's taxonomy places the organism in Eukaryota, Viridiplantae, Streptophyta, Magnoliopsida, Fabales, Fabaceae.